This 1102-nucleotide ribosomal RNA is filed under the name marine metagenome. RNAcentral describes it as "bacterial SSU rRNA". It matches the Rfam family "Bacterial small subunit ribosomal RNA", at positions 8 to 1126 of the family's 1533-position model. The record is from RNAcentral.
AGAGUUUGAUCCUGGCUCAGGACGAACGCUGGCGGCGUGCUUUAUACAUGCAAGUCGAACGAUGAAGUUACUUCGGUAAUGGAUUAGUGGCGAACGGGUGAGGAACACGUGAAGAAUCUGCCCCUCAUUUUGGGAUAACUUCGGGAAACCGAGGCUAAUACCGAAUAUUGAAACAUAAGUGGCAUCACUGAGUUUUGAAAGUUUUUCGAUGAGGGAUGACUUCGCGGCCUAUCAGCUAGUUGGUGAGGUAACGGCUCACCAAGGCAACGACGGGUAGCCGGCGUGAGAGGGCGAACGGCCACACUGGGACUGAGACACGGCCCAGACUCCUACGGGAGGCAGCAGUAGGGAAUAUUGCGCAAUGGAGGAAACUCUGACGCAGCGACGCCGCGUGCGGGAUGAAGGCCUUCGGGUUGUAAACCGCUUUCAGUAGGGAAGAAGCGAAAGUGACGGUACCUACAAAAGAAGCACCGGCUAACUAUGUGCCAGCAGCCGCGGUAAUACAUAGGGUGCAAGCGUUGUCCGGAAUUAUUGGGCGUAAAGAGCUCGUAGGUCGUUUGUUACGUCGGAUGUGAAAAUCUGAGGCUCAACCUCAGACCUGCAUUCGAUACGGGCAAACUAGAGUUUGGUAGGGGAGACUGGAAUUCCUGGUGUAGCGGUGGAAUGCGCAGAUAUCAGGAGGAACACCAACGGCGAAGGCAGGUCUCUGGGCCAAUACUGACACUGAGGAGCGAAAGCGCGGGGAGCGAACAGGAUUAGAUACCCUGGUAGUCCGCGCCGUAAACGGUGGGUACUAGUUGUGGGAACCUUCCACGGUUUCUGCGACGACGCUAACGCAUUAAGUACCCCGCCUGGGGAGUACGAUCGCAAGAUUAAAACUCAAAGGAAUUGACGGGGCCCCGCACAAGCAGCGGAGCAUGCGGCUCAAUUCGAUGCAACGCGAAGAACCUUACCAAGGCUUGACAUAUAGCGAAAAGUGGCAGAGAUGUCAUGUCCGCAAGGGCGCUAUACAGGUGGUGCAUGGUUGUCGUCAGCUCGUGUCGUGAGAUGUUGGGUUAAGUCCCGCAACGAGCGCAACCCUCGUUCUGUGUUACCAGCAUUU